GGGAGGCUUUUUAAACCGAGGGCGAGGAGGGGGUUGGGGGGGGAACAGUAUUGCUGCUGGCCGCAGACCCUGCUCGCAGUUGCAGGCCCCGCCGAGCCACUGCGGCUGAGUCCUCAGCGGCCUCCAGCAGAGAGCUAGCUGCAUCUUUGGGGACAGCAGGACAGCGAACAGUGCGCAAGAGAGCGGCCAGCACUGGGGACGCAAGGAUCCUGCAGCCGUUCUCGCGAUAUCUCGUUUCCUAAAGGCGAGGCGCGGAUGGCAUUCUGCAGUGAAUUACGAAGGUCUCGCCGAUUCUGAACGUAAUAUCGCGAUAGUUCGCACAGCGCAUGCGGGAGCCGGCGGCGGCAUAUUGGCUCCGCCCCUUAGUGCUCCGUGAGGUUGUGCGUCAUUUGCUUUUCGCUUCGCGUGGGGUGAGAGCGGAGCUGUAGCGAUUUCGGCUUGGGUGUAAGGAGAGGCUUGGGACGGGCUGGGCUCAGUUUUUCCCCGGUCCGGUGGAGGUUCUCCUGGGAUCACGCGGAGGCGGCCGAGGGUGGCUGCUGAGUGCAGGAGCUGCGGAGGCGCGAGCAGCGUCUUCUGAUGGUGCUGUUCUUAGCCGGUAGAUCUCUGAGAAGAGAGGAAGGAGUGGCACUACCAAAUAAAAACUUUGUCUAAGAUUCAGUGACAAAGUUCAACCUUGAAUUCCCAGGAUGUUUAUCGUUUGUCUCCCAGUAUGGCCAAAAAGCACUUAUGAAGGUCCUCCAGUAGCCUGACUUGAGUGGUUUUAGUGCUUCAGAGGAACAAACCAGUAGACCAUAAUUUGGUCAGGAAGAUUCAGGAAGGUGUUGGAGCAGUGUUGGGAUUUCCCACCAGGAUGACUAUGAUUGACUGUGAUUUUAGCUUCAUAGUUCUACUCUUUAAAAAAAAUGAUGGAGUCUGAUAAUUGUUGUGCAUUGGUGUGGAGCCAUCUCCUGGAGCAUGUGCAACUUACCAGUGGCCACUUUCCUAAAGAAAAAUGACUUCCCCAAUAGCCAUCGGCUACUGGUAACUCCUCAGGUAGGGGUAGGCGCCGAUGUUCCUUUCUUAUCCAUGUUUGAAUUUUGAUUGGCUUGAUUGUGCAGAUAGGUACUACAGCUGCUGUGAGUUUAUGAGUACAAUACUAUGCCAUAUCUAGAAGACAUUUUAUAGCAUUCCUCCUUGUCCUCUGGCUCUUACAUUCUUUCUGACUCCUCUUCCUAAAUAGUCCCAGAGCUUUGGGGCAGGGUUGAUAUAUAUUGCCCAUUUAUGAGUGACUACUCAGUCACUUAGUCUACAUUAACUGCAGAAAGAAACUUCUGACCAAGGUUGAGAACAGUUUAUUAUUGCCUUCAGCUAAAAGCAAUUUUGGAACCCUCUGUUGCAGGGAUUCUCAAACUGUAGUCCCUGAUGUUCUAUUUCCUGCACAUUGGCAGCUGGGUCCAGAGGUGUGAUAAAUUCACGUUCAUUCCCUCUGGCAAGCAUUGGAGGAGGGUAUGUGUUCAUUCACAGUGUUGUGUUUUAAUGAUGUGAGUUUUCUUUUAGUUCAUUAAAGGGUUGGUGACAGUGAAAUGAUAAUGUUUCAAUUCUGGCAUUUUAUGUUUACCCUCAUUUUUUAAUUUGAUUAAGCAGGAUGAACACUCAGUUUUUGUCUCUUAAAGUGUGUGUGUUUGUGUGUGUGUCCGUGUGUCCAGACUUGCUUCAAGUGUCAUUCCUCAUGCUGUUCACUUAUAUUUAUUUCUUGUUGUCUUUGAGAUAGGAUCUUCUCUGCCUUCCUAACGAUGUUAUUCUAAGCACACUACACCUAGUUGUUUUUGUUUGUUUUGUUUUAAAUGUGGGUCCUGGAACCUAAGACCCUGUGCUUGUAAGUAAGCAUAUACUGACUGAGUUGUCUUCUCAGUUCCUUUUCUUUUUAGGUCUGGCUUGGAACUCACUAUGCAGCCCAGGCAGACUUUUAAGUUUAUGGUAUCCUCCUGCUUUUGCCUCCUGAGUGCUGGGAUUACAGGUAUGAUUCACACCCAGCUUUUCUCCUUUUAAACACAGCCUCACCUUUUUUAAAAAAAUUGUUUAUAUAUCUUUAGUGUAUGCUAUGUAUGGGUGCCCUUAGAGGGCAGAAAAGGGUAUUGGAGCCCUUAGAGCUGGAGUUAAAGGUCAUUUUGGUUCUUGGAACUAAGCUCCAGUUCUCUGCAAGAGCAGGAAACUCUCUUAAUCACUGAGCCAUCUCUCUAGCCCCUAAAUACAACUUUUGAUAUAAUGGUUUGGGUUCCUAGUAGUUUCUGAGGGUUUUGAAAAUGCUUAUGACUAGAUACUUAUGGAUAUAAACAUUUGUGAAUCUAAUGUUUUGAAGUACAAAUGGUAUUAUGUUCUGCUAGGAGGACUUUAUAACAUUAUAAAGUUGGUUCCUGAUUAUUCCUGGCACAAACCCCAGUUUUUGGUACUUUCCUUGUUAUCAGUAUGUCUGAAUGUUCCAAGCUUAUUCUUGAACAUUUCUGCCCCAGAGCUGGAAUCAGCUAAUGUGAUAGGUGAGGUUGAAAGAAAUUUUCUCUUUGCCAUGGUAGUGCUAAGCUUUGUACUUAGUCUCUGUUUUCUCUUUCCACUUGACCUUCCCAGGUUGCUUCUUUAUGUUUUUUCUUUUUGUCGUUAUAGCAAAUUUUUAUUAGAAUUUAGGUGGGAAGGCUUGAGAAGUCUCGAUAAAAGUAGAAGGCAUGGAGUCUAGGCAGUUCUAGAUUUGGGGCUUCACACUUUAUCAUUUGGAUAAGUUAACCUUUUGUUUCAUCUUUGGAAAUACCUUUUUUAUUUGACUAUUGGAUUCUGUUUUGUGGUGCUGUAUACUGCAUUAGCUGCCAUGAUCUUUCCUUUUACAAAGUUCCUUACUGUUCAUUGUCUUCCAAUUCAAGGUUCUGCUAUAACCUUAUUGAUCUAUAAUGAGUCCUUACAACACUAAUCAUUCAUCAGCAUCAAUUAAGAUAGAAAAGAGUUAAUGAAUAUUAACGCCUUUAAAACCAUUUAUUUUGUGUAGUUUUAAAGGACCAUAUAUGGUUCAGUAAGUGGAAACUUUUUUUAAAUCUGGUGCAGGCUGUCCUUGAGUGCAUCAUUCGCCUGCCUCAACCUUCUGAAUGCUACAAUUCCAAGUGUGCAUCUGCACACCUAGAUCUGUUGUUCAUUUUUAAAGUAAUGUAAAGAUGUCAUUUUCAUUCUUACAUCUUGCCUUUCCAUUUAGUUGAAUAAAAAAUAGGUUUUCUAAUACUUGUGUGCUUCCUCAGCCUUUAAGAUUGCU
Molecule: long non-coding RNA, 3268 nt
Organism: Alexandromys fortis (reed vole)
Lineage: Eukaryota; Metazoa; Chordata; Mammalia; Rodentia; Cricetidae
Exons: 6
Source: RefSeq, a predicted model, not a curated record